Molecule: ribosomal RNA, 253 nt
Filed under: uncultured bacterium
Lineage: Bacteria
Description: partial 16S ribosomal RNA
Rfam family: Bacterial small subunit ribosomal RNA
Source: RNAcentral
UACGGAGGGUGCAAGCGUUAUCCGGAUUCACUGGGUUUAAAGGGUGCGUAGGCGGGCAGGUAAGUCAGUGGUGAAAUCUCAGAGCCUUAACUCUGAAACUGCCAUUGAUACUAUCUGUCUUGAAUGUUCUGGAGGUGAGCGGAAUAUGUCAUGUAGCGGUGAAAUGCUUAGAUAUGACAUAGAACACCAAUUGCGAAGGCAGCUCACUACGGAUACAUUGACACUGAGGCACGAAAGCGUGGGAUCAAACAGG